AUAUUAAAAGUUUUCUUAAUUUUAUUGCUUUGCAGCUCAAACACUCACCUAAUGGCUCAAGUAACAAAGACAUUGCUUACUUUGGACCCUGAAGCUGUGCUCACACUAAAACAUGGACUCAACUUCAAGAAAAAUCCAAAAGAUGGGAAAUGUUACAUCAUUUACAAGGAUGCAGAUGGUGUGAAGGCAUGUAGAAACCAGUGUAAACACCAAGGAGGACUGUUUAUCAAAGACAUAGAGGACCUGAAUGGAAAAACAGUGCGCUGUACUAAACAUUACUGGAAACUGAAUGUGUCAACCAUGGAAUAUGUGAAUCCACCAGACAGCUUUCAGCAGGAUGAGCUUGGGGUUAACUGGAAUGAUGGAAGUCUUGAGUUAGUGGAGCUGUAUCCUGCUGAGCCUUGGCUCAUUGACCCUAAAGUCCCCGAGCAACUUGAAGCUGGAGAAGUGACAGUAAGUACUCAAACUUGCAGCCUUACACAACAAAAAUACACACUGGUCAUGGCUACUGACUUUAGGCCUAUUCAUGACCAGAGGCGAGGAGCACGCAGCUCACAGCAGGCGGCACAGGUGGAAAAUGGGCUGGAUUAGGCAGAAUAUAUUAUCAGUAGGGAUGGGUAUCAUUUAGAUUUUACAGAUUCCAAUGCUAAAGCAAUACUUCUAAAAUGGUACCCAUGCCUAAAUGGUGCCUGAACUAAUAAAAAGCAAAUGAUGACCAUGGAAAAGAAAUUUAACCACAAAUUUAACCACAAUUUAACUUUAAUGUCAGUUUAAUGUCAGCUAGCUUGCUGACAGUACAUUCUGACAAUGACUAAGUCGAUGGAGCAAGUGUAAUGCUAGCUAGUGAAGGUGUGCAGUGGCAGGGGCAUGAGUGAAUGAUGCUUCUGUUGCCUGUAAGCACCGAAGGGAGGUGGAUGAGGAGGGAUGACCUAAAUUGUCAAGGAGGCUGGUGAAGGGCUUUAGGUGGGCCAAAUAAAAUCAGACUGUCAUUCACGCUCUGUUGGGGAGGUAGAGUUGUCAUCUGCAUAGCAAUGAAGAGAUAUUGUACUAAUGGAUAAUAUGUCCCAAAGGUAGCAUAUAUAGGAAAGAGAUGCCCUAAAAUGGACCCUUGAGGGACCCUGUAGGUGAUGGAGGCAGUGGAAGAGAAACAUGGAUAUUAAAAUCACUCAGAAUCAGAAUUAUGUCAGACAUAGGCAUAAUAGAUGGUAAAUGGACUGCAUUUAUAUAGCCCUUUUAUCCACAGCACUUUACAAUUGAUGCCUCUCAUUCACCCAUUCACACACACACUCACACACCAACAGUGAAAGGCUGCCAUGCAAGGUACCAAUCAACUCAUUGGGAGCAAUUAGGGGUUAGGUGUCUUGCUCAGGGACACAUCAAUACGCCCAGGGUGGGGGAUUGAACCGGCAACCCUCUGUCUGCCAGUCAACUGCUCUUACCUCCUGAGCUAUGUCGCCCCUAGAUGACCAAAAAAUAACAAAUUCAUUUCUAAAGUCUUUGCUUGGUUUAGGAAGUCUAUACACAAGAGCACAGAGCAGUGACUGUGUUCAAGUUUAGUCCAUGGUAGCUUAAAGCUAGGAUAACUCUUGGCUGAGGCCAUGAU
This is a long non-coding RNA of Anguilla rostrata (American eel), 1603 nucleotides long. RefSeq lists it as uncharacterized. Lineage: Eukaryota; Metazoa; Chordata; Actinopteri; Anguilliformes; Anguillidae. The record is from RefSeq and is a predicted model, not a curated record. The transcript is spliced from 3 exons.